AUUGAACGCUGGCGGCAGGCUUAACACAUGCAAGUCGAGCGGAGAUGAGGUGCUUGCACCUUAUCUUAGCGGCGGACGGGUGAGUAAUGCUUAGGAAUCUGCCUAUUAGUGGGGGACAACAUUCCGAAAGGAAUGCUAAUACCGCAUACGUCCUACGGGAGAAAGCAGGGGAUCUUCGGACCUUCAGCUAAUAGAUGAGCCUAAGUCGGAUUAGCUAGUUGGUGGGGUAAAGGCCUACCAAGGCGACGAUCUGUAGCGGGUCUGAGAGGAUGAUCCGCCACACUGGGACUGAGACACGGCCCAGACUCCUACGGGAGGCAGCAGUGGGGAAUAUUGGACAAUGGGGGAAACCCUGAUCCAGCCAUGCCGCGUGUGUGAAGAAGGCCUUAUGGUUGUAAAGCACUUUAAGCGAGGAGGAGGCUACUGAGACUAAUACUCUUGGAUAGUGGACGUUACUCGCAGAAUAAGCACCGGCUAACUCUGUGCCAGCCGCCGCCUAA
Molecule: ribosomal RNA, 500 nt
Filed under: uncultured bacterium
Lineage: Bacteria
Description: partial 16S ribosomal RNA
Rfam family: Bacterial small subunit ribosomal RNA
Source: RNAcentral